Molecule: small nucleolar RNA, 88 nt
Filed under: Amborella trichopoda
Lineage: Eukaryota; Viridiplantae; Streptophyta; Magnoliopsida; Amborellales; Amborellaceae
Description: snoRNA snoR44_J54
Rfam family: Small nucleolar RNA R44/J54/Z268 family
About the family: R44, J54 and Z268 are members of the C/D class of snoRNA which contain the C (UGAUGA) and D (CUGA) box motifs. Most of the members of the box C/D family function in directing site-specific 2'-O-methylation of substrate RNAs.
Source: Rfam by way of RNAcentral
CAUGCAUGUGAUGUGAAGAUAGACAGGGACAUCAGAAAUCCCUUGGGGCAUAUGUUGUGAUUUGUCUUGGGAAUCUCUCUGAUGCGUA